GUGCAGUCACAUAAUGGAUACAGUAGCUUGUAAUUCAAAAUACAUUACAUCAAUUCAAUACAUGAAGUCAGUCAUGAUCUUCAAAGUACACCAUAGCCGAGAACUUUCAUAAGUGAAAAAAUGAAACAACUAACAAAAAUAUGACUCAAAUGGCUGCCAUUCAAGACAUGAAGAGUCCUAUUUCUUCAUUUGGUCAGGCACCAUCGUGCAUGUGCAAGGAACAUGUAGCUUUCAUUUGUAAUGAACUCUUAGAUUUCCAAGACUGAGUUACUAUAUUCACUAAGCAUAUGGCAUUCAGAAUCAGAUGAACUUCAUCCAGUAACAUUGACUUAUACAGCAUCAUGCAAAUUAUCAUAACUUAUCUUUAGCAUUAGAGUAGAAAAAGCUCUCACAAGUUGAUGCUUAUUUUCUAAGGAGUGGAACUUUACUAAGAGUGUUGCAUGGGUCCUACAACAAAUCCUGAAUUGAACACUAUAAAAAGGGAAAUUCUAUUCAUCAAAACCAACCAAGAGACUGAGAACAGUUGGAUCACCUCUAGUGGGGUUAAAGGGCAUUUCCCAUCCACACGAUUUGCUCCUGGCGUUAUUACCCUACCUCUUCUCCUGAAUUUUCCU
RNAcentral lists this unclassified non-coding RNA (614 nucleotides) under Hevea brasiliensis (rubber tree). Lineage: Eukaryota; Viridiplantae; Streptophyta; Magnoliopsida; Malpighiales; Euphorbiaceae. The record is from RNAcentral.